CCUGGAGAAUGCCCUCAUUGAUGGCGAUCUUCCCUGGAGGAGGAUGGGACAUCCUCUCCUCAGGCCCCGGGAGCGUGGCGUUGCAGGCCUCGGGAAGGUGGUACCGAGCCACAAGUCUGUCUAAGUCUGUGGCGACCAGCUCCGACUUAAUUUGGUCUGCUCUCACUUCGCCCAUUCCUAAUGGCCAAUGAACCUACGGUCAGGACGGGGACAGGAAGGGGGGAAAGACCGGAGCGACUGGAGUACACUAGUAUAAGAGGGGAAAGUAUGGAGAGCCCUAAGCAGAAGAAUGGGGAAAACUCACCGGAAAAGAGGUAAGAAUGGCUCCGAGAGCGCCAAAGGAGAAACGAGCGAACAGUCCGACGGCAGCAACAGCAGCGCAAAGGGGAAGCUUGAAAAUAUCUGUAAAGAAGAAGACGGACGGGGAAAGGCCCCCGAUUAAAUAGGCGGAAAGGCAAGUGACGCCUCAAUGACGCCAGAGGACGCCUGGGCGCCGAAAUCCUCAGACUGCCAGGUCAGCAAUAACCGCCAUACGCCAUAAAAAGGGCGGGGAGCUCGAAGCGCGCGCGCCUCUCCGAGGAACGGCGACAAUCCCGAAACAUCACUCCCUUCACCUGUUCCCCUUCUGGUUCCAGGCUCGGAAGUGGGGGGCUACUGUUACGGGGGAAAUAAGCCGCCAUGCCCCACGUGACCGGCACGCGCGCCCAGGAAGACUACGGCUGCCCUUUGAUCCAGCGCUCCGACCCCAAGUCAGACGUCCUCGGCUCCGCAGCCCGACCCCGAGUCGGCUGCCCUUUGAUCCCGCAAUCCGACCCCGAGUCGGACGUCCUCGGCUCCGCAGCCCGACCCCGAGUCGGCAGCCCUUUGAUCCAGCAAUCCGACCCCGAGUC
This 890-nucleotide long non-coding RNA is filed under the name Phoenix dactylifera (date palm). RNAcentral's name for it is "long non-coding RNA (PDAC_LNC017028)". The record is from RNAcentral. Lineage: Eukaryota; Viridiplantae; Streptophyta; Magnoliopsida; Arecales; Arecaceae.